GCGGGCGUAGCUCAGUUGGUAGAGCGCUAGCUUCCCAAGCUGGAUGUCGCCGGUUCGAGUCCGGUCGCCCGCU
This 73-nucleotide transfer RNA is filed under the name Planctomycetaceae bacterium. RNAcentral describes it as "tRNA-Gly". It matches the Rfam family "tRNA". Rfam says of the family: Transfer RNA (tRNA) molecules are approximately 80 nucleotides in length. RNAcentral also lists the same sequence under 1 other name. The record is from RNAcentral. Lineage: Bacteria; Pseudomonadati; Planctomycetota; Planctomycetia; Planctomycetales; Planctomycetaceae.